This is a non-coding RNA of Mycena galopus ATCC 62051, 96 nucleotides long. NCBI's taxonomy places the organism in Eukaryota, Fungi, Basidiomycota, Agaricomycetes, Agaricales, Mycenaceae. The record is from the annotation of a GenBank genome assembly.
GCGUGCUUGGCGUAACGGUAACACGUGUUGUGCCACUUGUCAGUUACGUAAUGAUUUGUAUCACACAAGGUGAGGGUUCGAAUCCCUCAGCGCGCA